CUACGGGGGGCUCCAGUGAGGAAUAUUGCACAAUGGGGGGAACCCUGAUGCAGCAACGCCGCGUGGAGGAUGACGCAUUUCGGUGUGUAAACUCCUUUUAUGAGUCAAGAAAAUGACGGUAGCUCAUGAAUAAGCACCGUCUAACUCCGUGCCAGCAGCCGCGGUAAUACGGAGGGUGCAAGCGUUACUCGGAAUCACUGGGCGUAAAGGACGCGUAGGCGGGAUAUCAAGUCAGGUGUGAAAUCCUACAGCUUAACUGUAGAACUGCACUUGAAACUGGCAACCUAGAGUAUGGGAGGGGGAGAUGGAAUUAGUGGUGUAGGGGUAAAAUCCGUAGAUAUCACUAGGAAUACCUAAAGCGAAGGCGAUCUCCUGGAACAUAACUGACGCUAAGGCGUGAAAGCGUGGGGAGCAAACAGGAUUAGAUACCCCCGUAGUC
Molecule: ribosomal RNA, 439 nt
Filed under: uncultured bacterium
Lineage: Bacteria
Description: partial 16S ribosomal RNA
Rfam family: Bacterial small subunit ribosomal RNA
Source: RNAcentral